CUUAUAGAAGCAGAACCUGGACAUUGCUGAAGCCCUAAACCCUUCCAUUGGGGGUUCAAAUCCCCUCUAUAACU
This 74-nucleotide transfer RNA is filed under the name Centrobranchus nigroocellatus (roundnose lanternfish). RNAcentral describes it as "tRNA-Leu". It matches the Rfam family "tRNA". Rfam says of the family: Transfer RNA (tRNA) molecules are approximately 80 nucleotides in length. Their secondary structure includes four short double-helical elements and three loops (D, anti-codon, and T loops). RNAcentral also lists the same sequence under 2 other names. Lineage: Eukaryota; Metazoa; Chordata; Actinopteri; Myctophiformes; Myctophidae. The record is from RNAcentral.